Molecule: small RNA, 623 nt
Filed under: Pongo abelii (Sumatran orangutan)
Lineage: Eukaryota; Metazoa; Chordata; Mammalia; Primates; Hominidae
Description: retained intron
Source: RNAcentral
CGGCAGGCCGUGGAGCUGCGGAGCCUGUGGCGGGAGCGCGCGUGCGUGGUGGCCGGGCUGCGGCGCUUCGGGUGCGUUGUGUGCCGCUGGAUCGCCCAGGACCUCAGCAGCCUCGCUGGGCUCCUGGACCAGCACGGCGUGCGCCUGGUGGGCGUGGGGCCCGAGGCCCUGGGUCUGCAGGAGUUCCUGGACGGCGACUACUUCGCGGGAGAGCUCUACCUGGAUGAGAGCAAGCAGCUUUAUAAGGAGCUGGGCUUCAAGCGGUACAACAGCCUGAGCAUCCUCCCAGCAGCUCUGGGGAAGCCCGUGCGUGAUGUGGCUGCCAAGGUUUGUGUGGGUCAAGGGUGUACAGGCCGGGGGGUGGGUGGUGGGAGCUCCCAGGGGCCUUUCCUCUAGGAUUGACCCAGGCUGUGCCCACUCCUGACAGGCCAAGGCUGUUGGCAUCCAGGGGAACUUGUCUGGGGACCUGCUGCAGAGCGGAGGGCUGCUGGUGGUCAGCAAAGGUGGGUCGAGGGAGGAGCCCCAGCCACUGCCUCAGGGAGGGCCUUGCUAAACUUGGUGGCCCAGCCCAGGCCCUCUCUCUGGCUUGUCAGUCUCAUCACAGCCCCUCCGCCGCAAUGUGG